This 429-nucleotide ribosomal RNA is filed under the name Pseudomonadota bacterium. RNAcentral's name for it is "Proteobacteria bacterium partial 16S ribosomal RNA". It matches the Rfam family "Bacterial small subunit ribosomal RNA", at positions 355 to 776 of the family's 1533-position model. Lineage: Bacteria; Pseudomonadati; Pseudomonadota. The record is from RNAcentral.
UGGGGAAUAUUGGACAAUGGGCGAAAGCCUGAUCCAGCCAUGCCGCGUGUGUGAAGAAGGUCUUCGGAUUGUAAAGCACUUUAAGUUGGGAGGAAGGGCAGUAAGCGAAUACCUUGCUGUUUUGACGUUACCGACAGAAUAAGCACCGGCUAACUCUGUGCCAGCAGCCGCGGUAAUACAGAGGGUGCAAGCGUUAAUCGGAAUUACUGGGCGUAAAGCGCGCGUAGGUGGUUCGUUAAGUUGAAUGUGAAAGCCCCGGGCUCAACCUGGGAACUGCAUCCAAAACUGGCGAGCUAGAGUAGGGCAGAGGGUGGUGGAAUUUCCUGUGUAGCGGUGAAAUGCGUAGAUAUAGGAAGUAACACCAGUGACGAAGGCGACCACCUGGGCUCAUACUGACACUGAGGUGCGAAAGCGUGGGGAGCAAACAGG